Molecule: small RNA, 310 nt
Filed under: Arabidopsis thaliana (thale cress)
Lineage: Eukaryota; Viridiplantae; Streptophyta; Magnoliopsida; Brassicales; Brassicaceae
Description: ATSL284240
Source: RNAcentral
AAUUAUUCAUUGAAACAGGUUUCUCUGAUUUGGGAGACUCGUAGGCGAUGUUAACGAAGCCCGAAAAGAAGCUUGACUCUUUAGAGGUAUACGAGGCUACUUUUGAUAAUGAAUUGGGAAAAGACAAAAAAACCACGGAAUAUUAAAGUCAGUUUAAGUGAGGGUAAAAUCGUAAAAACCUUGUAGAAAGAAGUACCUAAAUCAAUAACGCAUAUGAGAUAUGCCUAUUUCAACAAAAGCAUAGACUUUAAUGUGUCGAUCCCAUAAUUGAUCCUUUUUUUGUCAUGCUAAUCUUCUUAGUAUAAUUGAU